This 88-nucleotide transfer RNA is filed under the name Methylomagnum ishizawai. It matches the Rfam family "tRNA". From Rfam's summary of the family: Transfer RNA (tRNA) molecules are approximately 80 nucleotides in length. Their secondary structure includes four short double-helical elements and three loops (D, anti-codon, and T loops). RNAcentral also lists the same sequence under 1 other name. The record is from Rfam by way of RNAcentral. Lineage: Bacteria; Pseudomonadati; Pseudomonadota; Gammaproteobacteria; Methylococcales; Methylococcaceae.
GGAGAGAUGUCCGAGCGGUUUAAGGAGCACGCCUGGAAAGUGUGUAUACGUUAAUAGCGUAUCGAGGGUUCGAAUCCCUCUCUCUCCG